Molecule: ribosomal RNA, 242 nt
Filed under: uncultured Janthinobacterium sp.
Lineage: Bacteria; Pseudomonadati; Pseudomonadota; Betaproteobacteria; Burkholderiales; Oxalobacteraceae
Description: partial 16S ribosomal RNA
Rfam family: Bacterial small subunit ribosomal RNA
Source: RNAcentral
AGUGGCGAACGGGUGAGUAAUAUAUCGGAACGUACCCUGGAGUGGGGGAUAACGUAGCGAAAGUUACGCUAAUACCGCAUACGAUCUACGGAUGAAAGUGGGGGAUCGCAAGACCUCAUGCUCGUGGAGCGGCCGAUAUCUGAUUAGCUAGUUGGUAGGGUAAAAGCCUACCAAGGCAUCGAUCAGUAGCUGGUCUGAGAGGACGACCAGCCACACUGGAACUGAGACACGGUCCAGACUCC